Molecule: ribosomal RNA, 232 nt
Filed under: uncultured bacterium
Lineage: Bacteria
Description: partial 16S ribosomal RNA
Rfam family: Bacterial small subunit ribosomal RNA
Source: RNAcentral
CGGACGGGUGAGUAAUGUCUGGGAAACUGCCCGAUGGAGGGGGAUAACUACUGGAAACGGUAGCUAAUACCGCAUAACGUCGCAAGAUCAAAGAGGGGGACCUUCGGGCCUCUUGCCAUCGGAUGUGCCCAGAUGGGAUUAGCUAGUAGGUGGGGUAACGGCUCACCUAGGCGACGAUCCCUAGCUGGUCUGAGAGGAUGACCAGCCACACUGGAACUGAGACACGGUCCAG